UACAGAGGGGGCAAGCGUUGUUCGGAAUUACUGGGCGUAAAGGGCGCGUAGGCGGCCUUCUAAGUCGAACGUGAAAUCCCUGGGCUCAACCCAGGAACUGCGUCCGAUACUGGAAGGCUUGAAUCCGGGAGAGGUGAGUGGAACUGCGAGUGUAGAGGUGAAAUUCGUAGAUAUUCGCAAGAACACCAGUGGCGAAGGCGGCUCACUGGCCCGGUACUGACGCUGAGGCACGAAAGCGUGGGGAGCAAACAGG
This 253-nucleotide ribosomal RNA is filed under the name uncultured bacterium. Its description in RNAcentral is "partial 16S ribosomal RNA". It matches the Rfam family "Bacterial small subunit ribosomal RNA", at positions 524 to 776 of the family's 1533-position model. The record is from RNAcentral.